RNAcentral lists this transfer RNA (73 nucleotides) under Candidatus Methanophagales archaeon. RNAcentral's name for it is "ANME-1 cluster archaeon tRNA-Gln". It matches the Rfam family "tRNA". From Rfam's summary of the family: Transfer RNA (tRNA) molecules are approximately 80 nucleotides in length. Their secondary structure includes four short double-helical elements and three loops (D, anti-codon, and T loops). Lineage: Archaea; Methanobacteriati; Methanobacteriota; Methanomicrobia; Candidatus Methanophagales. The record is from RNAcentral.
AGUCCCGUGGUGUAGCGGUCAAGCAUACAGGCCUUUGGAGCCUGUGACGGGGGUUCGAAUCCUCUCGGGACUA